CCUACGGGCGGCUGCAGUAAGGAAUAUUGGUCAAUGGACGAAAGUCUGAACCAGCCAUCCCGCGUGCAGGAUGAAGGUCCUAUGGAUUGUAAACUGCUUUUAGCAGAGAAGAAAAGCAUUCAUUUAUGAGUGUCUGACGGUAUCUGCGGAAUAAGCACCGGCUAACUCCGUGCCAGCAGCCGCGGUAAUACGGAGGGUGCAAGCGUUAUCCGGAAUCACUGGGUUUAAAGGGUGCGUAGGCGGAAUAUUAAGUCAGUGGUGAAAGCCUGUCGCUUAACGAUAGAACUGCCAUUGAUACUGAUAUUCUUGAAUUGGGUUGAGGUUAGCGGAAUGUGACAUGUAGCGGUGAAAUGCAUAGAUAUGUCAUGGAACACCAAUUGCGAAGGCAGCUAGCUGGGCCUUGAUUGACGCUGAGGCACGAAAGCGUGGGUAGCGAACAGGCUUAGAUACCCGAGUAGUC
RNAcentral lists this ribosomal RNA (460 nucleotides) under uncultured Saprospiraceae bacterium. RNAcentral describes it as "bacterial SSU rRNA". It matches the Rfam family "Bacterial small subunit ribosomal RNA", at positions 338 to 795 of the family's 1533-position model. Lineage: Bacteria; Pseudomonadati; Bacteroidota; Saprospiria; Saprospirales; Saprospiraceae. The record is from RNAcentral.